CCACAAAUGGAACCCCCUUUAAAGA
This 25-nucleotide transfer RNA is filed under the name Plicuteria lubomirskii. RNAcentral describes it as "partial tRNA-Met". Lineage: Eukaryota; Metazoa; Mollusca; Gastropoda; Stylommatophora; Hygromiidae. The record is from RNAcentral.